Oreochromis niloticus (Nile tilapia) is the source of this 787-nucleotide long non-coding RNA. RefSeq lists it as uncharacterized. The transcript is spliced from 5 exons. The record is from RefSeq and is a predicted model, not a curated record. Lineage: Eukaryota; Metazoa; Chordata; Actinopteri; Cichliformes; Cichlidae.
CACCAAUUGAUUUUUAACUUUAAACACAAGUAUGUUGUUUUGAAUUUAAUUAACAACAUAAUAUUUCAAUACAACAAAAUGCAGUAAAUUAAAUCCAACGUAAAAAGUUCAUUUAAAAUGAAGAGCACUUUAAUUUAAAGAGGAUUGUCCUAAUAGGCUCUCCGUACUUCUGAGUUUGCACAUGUGCAGUGUGGAAGUUUGAUCAUCCGCCAUUUUCAACUGAGACUUGCAUAUGCUUAGCAUCCUGGAUAGAAUCCAUCGCCAUCCGAGGAUUAUUUGUUUCCAUUGGUUAUCAUCGCUACCGAAGACAGGAAAUCAUCAAAGACAUGCCAUUCAUUGCAGAGGUCAACAACAGACGGCCUGCCCUGUUUUCAGAGACUGAGGUUGUUGCAGAGUUCACCCGCAUCACCAUGGUCCCUUUGUUGUCGACUUUCAUGGCCAAGCUGGACCGCUAUGCUGACCACCUUCUUAGAGUGUUCAAAAAGAAGGGGGGGACAGCUAAACGCAAUAUCAACUUAAUCAUGACAGCCAUGGAUGGGAAUCCCAGUGUUGAUGUUUGACGGGAAUGCAUUCUGAAAGCUGUCUGUGUCUACUUAAAUGAAAAGCCAGAUGACCUGUUCAAGGAAUUCUUGGAUGUGGAUCUUGGUGCAAGCAGAGAAACGGAGCAGCUGACUUUGGGAGUCUAUGUUGUCAGACAUGAAGGAGCAAACUCUGCAGAUACACCUGAGGACAUUGGUGUCAUCAUAGAAGGAUGCACUGUGCUGCAAGCUCUUAGUGAUGUGGCAAA